AGCAGGACAGAGACACCAGCCCUGGGAAGCCACUAGGAUUUCUGCAGAGGGCCGUUUCCACAUCAGAAAACUGGGAACCCUUUGUGCACAUAACGCUUGACACGAAGAAGGACCUCGGAGCCAAGUGGGAACCAACACUGUUUAAAGGCAGGAAGCAAAAUCCUACAGUGUCCAAAUGAAAUGUGUGCUGCGAAAGGCGUAAUCUGUGUGUGUUCUCUGCGGCUCACUCCCAGGUGUGCAAACUUGCAGAGUGGGGAACCUUGUUGCCUUCCCCCUACGCUAACUGCCUUUUCGUGACUUUUUCGCAGCUGGCAGUGAGGUGUGCGGGCUCAUCUGUGGCCAAGUGCCCAGGAAAGAGAGGCAGCCCAGUAGAUCGUGCUUCCCGUGAGGGAGACUCGCUGCUGCCAAUGACAGACUCAAAACAUCGUGACCCGGCCACAGGAUCAUGGGUGAGAACGGCUAGAAUCAGAAAACGAGUGACUAUCCUGUAGCCCCAGUCGGACUUGAGGUUCACAUUUCUUGCAUUUUUAUGCUUAAUGACAAUAGUUUUAUUAGUGAGAAGUGGCCUUCUGGAAGUAGAGUAGAAUUCAUUUUGCCCCCUGGAGGUGUGCAUUUUGUGUCUGUGUGCACACACCCUGCUCUUCAUCCGACUUUCUGAAGCGACAGGUCCAACUUGCUGUUUUCAGGGACAGGACAAUUUUCCCACAUGCAUGAAAAGGCAACAGACCCAACGCUGAGCUCGGGCAGAACAUCCUGGUUAUCAGGACCCUGUGAUUGCAAACGAACCCACAGACCUCUGCGUGUCAUGCUGAGUAUGUCUUGAUGGGCACCAAGAACUAAAAGCCACUUUCCUAAACCUAAGACGGGGUUUCCAGCACAGCCUGUCAUUCAGCCUCCGAGGGGGGCUGCCAAGGAGGGAGAGUGCUGGGGAGUUUCCUGCCUCGGCACUGGUGACUUCAGACACGUGUUUCCUCCGAGAGAUUUGGGUGGAGACGCGAAAAGCACCUCUAAGUUCAUGCACCCUGAUAAAAGUGGGGUUUACCUGCUCACAAGCACAUAUAGCCACAGAUGUUGCCAAGAGCCUCACACCCCACAAUCACAGCCCAGUUAAAAAUGGGCUUGGCUGAUGGGAGGUUCUGAGUGAAUGCAGUGUAGACAGGCAGGUCUCCUCCAAGCCUUCUGGGGGUGCAGCUUCCUGAACGGGUUGUGGAAGAACCAGAGAGUUAGGUCUGCUUCUGUCGCAGUGGGGCACCCAGACAGCGUCUUUCCCCGCAAGUAAAAGGGUUGCUCAUAGCCCUGUUUUGUUGUUCGUGUUGCUUUGCCGAUGCAGUGCUCACACCGAGCUUUGCUGGCCCGCUGGCUCUAAAUUCUACAAUUUCAUCGCAGUUUCUCAGGGUUCCUGCUGAGCGCAGCAGGUCCUUGCAGUAAGCGAAAUUUAUAUAGACUUCAUGGACGCAGGGACAGUCUUCCACUGUGAAUUUCCUCAUCCAAGGACAAAUAUAAGGGCUCCUCCGUAAGGACUUGCAGGCUGCUGAACUUCUGCAGCUUGCUGGGAUCCAACUUAACACCCGUCCCCACUUCCAGGCCUUGGGGAGGUGCCUGUGUACAGGGGGUGCUGGGUAGAGUCUGUAACAGAACGAAGACCUAAAGCAAAACACAGCUCCCGUUCUUAGAAAUUAAAAAAUCCCGUAAGAUUGUCUGGUAUCUGAUGAUCCCCAGCUCUUCAGUCAUAGAUGGUCAUUAUAUUCCUACUGAAAAAGCCACAAAAGGGAAGGAAUUAGAUUCUAGAUGCCUUUUAAAAAGCACUGUAUCAUGUUUCAAUGAAAAAGAGAAGAUUAAGAAAGCUGGGGAGUAAAGUAGGAAGCACAGGGCACAGGGUGUCAGAAUGUCUCUGCUCAUAAACAGAAUGUCUGCCCACAAAGCCCGUGGGUGGGACGGGGCAGAAGUGAUUGUGUUUCCAAAUCAGAAUUGGGUUAAAUAUUGCAGAAAAAAAAAGGGUAGGGAAAGCCAUGCACGUGUAGCUGAACAGAUUAUAACCAGUGUCAGGGGCCGCCGUAAUCUGCACUGCACAGGGCUUUUGCAGAUCUGGUGCAGGUGAGAACAAACUGGCAUUUUCCAAAGUUAAAAAAAAAUUGCACAUCUCAGAUUUGGACCAUUGUAACUACUGCUCUGACUAAUAAGUCGGUAAAAAAAAAAAGUUUGCAUUCUUUUUUCCCUUGCAGAGCUCUUCGCUCAUCGCUGUGGGUGCCGGGACGUUGCAUGUUUUUUCCCUUGCAGAGGCCAUCGCUGUGGGCGCCAGGACAUCUGUCCUUUGUGGGCAUGUUGAGGCUUCUCUGUGAAGGACCCACAUGUAAGUGGUCCCAGUGCCCUGACUUAGGAUUGGAGGCAAUUGACCCUCAGUGAGCUGGAAGGGAACCCGAUCCUGAGGCUGCUGUGCCGUGGCCU
Molecule: long non-coding RNA, 2445 nt
Filed under: Homo sapiens (human)
Lineage: Eukaryota; Metazoa; Chordata; Mammalia; Primates; Hominidae
Description: HSALNT0395363
Source: RNAcentral